GUAGCGUGCGCGUGUUUUUUCCGUCUCAUAGAGUUCAUGUGUAUUAUUAUUACCUUGAUUGCUUCAUAUCGUAUCGCUAUUUCGUUGAACACGUGUGAGUGGCCGUAUAUAAUAACCUUUCGGUUUUCAAGAAAUAUUUUAUUAUACGAAAUAAGCUGCAACAAGAAUAUUACAGCGCCCGAGACACCGACAGGUUUCAAUCCACGUGUCAUUCUAUUCCGACGAACGAAGCAAAGCACAACCGUCGAAGCGAUCAACGAUGAAACAGGUCCAAUCGAAGUAACGAACGCCGAUCUCGACGCGGCACCAAAAACCGUCGCCGCACACAUCCUCCCGACGACGAUGGCCCCCCAAAGAGAAACGGUCUGGCCCAUUACCGAAAGAAAGUUGUACGAAGGCAGCUCAAAGGAGACGAGAAAACCGAAAACCGCAGGCACGACCCACCGCCGCGCAAAAUUGCGAUAGAUCGUUUCGAAGACGUCUCAUUGCCUCGCUAUCGGGAACGUAGCCGCCUGCCUGCCUUGCCUACCUGCUUUGCAAGCCGUGCCAGCCGUGCCAGCCCUGGCCUGGCCAGGCUCGCAAGUCUGCAAGCUUGCUCUUCUCCCUGCUUCGACCUGCCUGCCUGCCUGCCUGCCUCGCCUUACCUCGCCUUCUGCUAUUCUUUUCAUGAACUAUUCCGCUCGUAUGUCUGCCCCUAGCCUUUAUCUGACCGGUCGAAGUCUCGCGCCCGCUAAUCGCGAGAGGCGGGCCGAGAAGACGAGGAGCAGAGCCGAGCGGAGCGGAGCCGAGCGGAUCGGAGCGGAGCGGUGAAGAGAAUCAAGGGUGAGGAUGCGCCCGCGACCGCAGCUACUCCUUUCAAUGAACGCUGCGGGCCUCCCGUUUGCGGUUCCGUUUUCAAUGAGGGCGCCCGUAAAAACUUUUAAGUACUCCUUCCACGUUGCCGGCAGGAAAAGAAGGAAUCGUGCACGGACUUCGCCCGGCAAGACGGUAGGCAGUUAGCAGACUCAAAGGGAUAAGCCCGAUCCCGGUGGCGGGAGGGAGCUGAAACGGAAACUGGCUUUGAGUUCUUACUGACUGCUUUUCGCUGGUUUCGGCUCCGGCAAAAGCACCCGUCCGUGUAGUUUAAUUAAAUCGUUGAGACUAGAGCCCACCGCGUCAUGCAUUUCGUAGACGACCCUGUUCCACUGGACCGGGCAACUCUUUGGGCGCGAAUUAUUUCGCGCCGGAAUUCAAUGCCGGCGUCCUACUCGCAAAUAAAUCCCCGUGCCAAUGGACCCGCGCCACCGAAUUUGUUCACUUUGACUUUUAAACGGAUAUUUUUUUUUUAACGAACGACCAUUCACGCUCCUCCACGAACAAUGCAUCCUUCCUGUACCUUCAGCUUCGCGGUCUUGAAAUUUCUCAGGACCGGGUUCUGAAGAUGGGUUGUUUCUACGAGAUUGCAUCGGUCGAUUAUGCGAAAGUCUAUCGAUUCGCUGUUGGAUGCCGCGCGAGAAACUCUGGAUGCAUUUUUCUCGUAAAUGCAUCCCGGAUUUUUGUGCGAAUACAUCUUUCAGUUUACUCAUCUUUAUUUACUCGCUUUGAGCGAGAUUGGUUUAUUGCAAACGUUUAUUACGGAGCACUGGUAACAGCUGCUUUAUAUUAAUUUAUAAAAGUAACAACAUUGUAAUAAUAUGA
Molecule: long non-coding RNA, 1677 nt
Organism: Megalopta genalis
Lineage: Eukaryota; Metazoa; Arthropoda; Insecta; Hymenoptera; Halictidae
Source: RefSeq, a predicted model, not a curated record